This 253-nucleotide ribosomal RNA is filed under the name uncultured bacterium. RNAcentral describes it as "partial 16S ribosomal RNA". It matches the Rfam family "Bacterial small subunit ribosomal RNA", at positions 524 to 776 of the family's 1533-position model. The record is from RNAcentral.
UACGUAGGGGGCAAGCGUUGUCCGGAAUUAUUGGGCGUAAAGGGCUCGUAGGCGGUCUGUUGCGUCAGGAGUGAAAACUCGGGGCUUAACCCCGAGCCUGCUUCUGAUACGGGCAGACUAGAGGUAUGCAGGGGAGAACGGAAUUCCUGGUGUAGCGGUGAAAUGCGCAGAUAUCAGGAGGAACACCGGUGGCGAAGGCGGUUCUCUGGGCAUUACCUGACGCUGAGGAGCGAAAGCGUGGGUAGCAAACAGG